AGCUGGUUUAUAUCAUCAAAAUAAAACGUGCGAUUCUUCAAUUACUAAUAAUAAUAAUCUCUAAGCAUACAAACAGCUGGAAAAACUUUUUUAUAAUAUGUAAUGAUAUGGUGGAUCUUUAACAAAAGUACCCUGUCGAAAAUACGUACCUGCCAACGGGCUAUGGAGAGGAGCAUCCUUGGCAUCAAGACCAUCGACAAAGUCAACUGUAAAAAAAUCAGACUAAAAACCAAAGUGAUAGACGCAUCAGAACACGCGCAGCGCUUGAAGUGGAAAUGGGCAGGAC
Molecule: unclassified non-coding RNA, 286 nt
Filed under: Melitaea cinxia (Glanville fritillary)
Lineage: Eukaryota; Metazoa; Arthropoda; Insecta; Lepidoptera; Nymphalidae
Description: misc RNA ENSMCXG00005010398.1
Source: RNAcentral